This 689-nucleotide ribosomal RNA is filed under the name uncultured bacterium. RNAcentral's name for it is "bacterial SSU rRNA". It matches the Rfam family "Bacterial small subunit ribosomal RNA", at positions 32 to 715 of the family's 1533-position model. The record is from RNAcentral.
AACGCUAGCUACAGGCUUAACACAUGCAAGUCGAGGGGCAGCAGGAUCUAGCAAUAGAUUGCUGGCGACCGGCGCACGGGUGAGUAACACGUAUCCAACCUGCCGAUAACUCGGGGAUAGCCUUUCGAAAGAAAGAUUAAUACCCGAUGGUAUAAUCAGACCGCAUGGUUUGAUUAUUAAAGAAUUUCGGUUAUCGAUGGGGAUGCGUUCCAUUAGGCAGUUGGUGAGGUAACGGCUCACCAAACCUUCGAUGGAUAGGGGUUCUGAGAGGAAGGUCCCCCACAUUGGAACUGAGACACGGUCCAAACUCCUACGGGAGGCAGCAGUGAGGAAUAUUGGUCAAUGGACGAGAGUCUGAACCAGCCAAGUAGCGUGAAGGAUGACUGCCCUAUGGGUUGUAAACUUCUUUUAUACGGGAAUAAAGUGAGGCACGUGUGCCUUUUUGUAUGUACCGUAUGAAUAAGGAUCGGCUAACUCCGUGCCAGCAGCCGCGGUAAUACGGAGGAUCCGAGCGUUAUCCGGAUUUAUUGGGUUUAAAGGGAGCGUAGGCGGACGCUUAAGUCAGUUGUGAAAGUUUGCGGCUCAACCGUAAAAUUGCAGUUGAUACUGGGUGUCUUGAGUACAGUAGAGGCAGGCGGAAUUCGUGGUGUAGCGGUGAAAUGCUUAGAUAUCACGAAGAACUCCGAUUG